Erinaceus europaeus (western European hedgehog) is the source of this 115-nucleotide ribosomal RNA. The record is from Ensembl. NCBI's taxonomy places the organism in Eukaryota, Metazoa, Chordata, Mammalia, Eulipotyphla, Erinaceidae.
GUCUACGGCCAUACCACCCUGAACAUGCCCGAUCUCGUUUGAUCUCGGAAGCUAAGCAGGGUCGGGCCUAGUUAGUACUUGGAUGGGAGAAAUGGACUGGGAGGAUGGAUUGACC